Molecule: unclassified non-coding RNA, 240 nt
Filed under: fungal sp.
Lineage: Eukaryota; Fungi
Description: partial internal transcribed spacer region
Rfam family: Eukaryotic small subunit ribosomal RNA (bases 1-46)
Source: RNAcentral
AAGUCGUAACAAGGUUUCCGUAGGUGAACCUGCGGAAGGAUCAUUAGAAAUCACCGGCUUAACCGGUAUACUAUUCUAUCCACCUUGUGUGCAAACAAUGGAAAAAGAGAGAAAAUUGGAUACUUUUCUGUAUUCAACUUCUCUAAAAUUCUUUAUAAACUCCAUCAAAUUUUGAAUGAAAACAAUUUUUUUAAAUAAAAAAAUAUUAUACAACUUUCAACAACGGAUCUCUUGGCUCUC